This is a long non-coding RNA of Hemicordylus capensis (graceful crag lizard), 303 nucleotides long. RefSeq lists it as uncharacterized. The record is from RefSeq and is a predicted model, not a curated record. Lineage: Eukaryota; Metazoa; Chordata; Lepidosauria; Squamata; Cordylidae. The transcript is spliced from 3 exons.
UAUGCACAUCCCUAGUAUGUACUUCUAACUAGAGGAAGCUCAAGUCAUUGUGGUGCCUGAGGUCAAACAUCUGAAAGAAUAUUUUAAGUAACAAAACAGCUCAAGUAUCAAAAUGCAGUACAAUAAAUGCAGCUAAAAUGAAAAAUUGGAAUGUCCUGUCCAGAUGCCAAGUCCCUACCACUAAGCAAGCCAGCCGGAGGGGUCUGAGGAAGAGCAACCAGCUCUCCCCAAGGACGUUAAUCCUGUGAAGACUUCGUUUAGUCAUCUUGGCUGGGACGAAACAUGGCCUACAGGGGGACGUGG